AGUGGACAUUGUGUCUUGAGGCCAUGGAAAUGUACCUGGAGGAUCAGAAUAAAGGGGGGGAAGGUGGAGACCCAUUCCUCCAGUAUUAUUUUUUAAUGGCUUUAAAAAAAGCACUCACCGUUGCAGUUCCCUUUUGCUGAGCCCAAAUCUGUGCCUUCCUCCAGGUGAGUCCCUGAGGGCCGUUUUUGCUGAACACUUUUGAGCCCCCAAUGUAUACAUUUAGGGAUCCCACUCCACUGCCGACCAUGUGAUAGUAGAAGAAGAGGCAUUUAUCGCCGCUAAAAUCCAAAGAUACCAACUCCAUCCUAGAUGUAUCACCACGUCUCCGGUCUGAUGCCUCGGUGUACAUGUAAUAACCUGUACAUGGUAUCAUCAUUAACACAAUCAUCAUUAUCACAAAUAUUGCGGCCUAAAUGGAUUAUGACGUCAUCUUUCAAGUCCCUCGCCUUUUACCGCCGGGAAGAUAUUGACCAUGGCAAAGAAGAUGAAGAUAAGUAAAUAUAUGGAUAUAUAUAAGGAUGGACAGAGAGAUCAUUGAAUUUUCUCCUUUGUAUUCCACUCUUAGUGAUAAAAAAACUUAUACUAUU
Molecule: long non-coding RNA, 587 nt
Organism: Nematostella vectensis (starlet sea anemone)
Lineage: Eukaryota; Metazoa; Cnidaria; Anthozoa; Actiniaria; Edwardsiidae
Exons: 3
Source: RefSeq, a predicted model, not a curated record